GAUGAACGCUGACAGAAUGCUUAACACAUGCAAGUCUUUGGCGAAGCUGUGCUUGCACAGCCUAGCCAAGGCGGACGGGUGAGUAACGCGUAAGGAACUUGCCCUGCAGUCAGGGAUAACAGACGGAAACGACUGAUAAGACCUGGUAAAGUCAGGCGGACUCAUGUCCAGCCUGAUGAAAAGAGAUGCUGCAGGAGAGCCUUGCGUCCUAUUAGCUUGUUGGUGGGGUAACGGCCCACCAAGGCGUUGAUAGGUAGCCGGCCUGAGAGGGUGGACGGCCACAAGGGGACUGAGAUACGGCCCUUACUCCUACGGGAGGCAGCAGUGGGGAAUAUUGGACAAUGGGGGCAACCCUGAUCCAGCAAUUCUGUGUGCACGAUGAAGGUUUUCGGAUUGUAAAGUGCUUUCAGCAGGGAAGAAAAAAAUGACGGUACCUGCAGAAGAAGCGACGGCUAAAUACGUG
RNAcentral lists this ribosomal RNA (463 nucleotides) under uncultured bacterium. RNAcentral's name for it is "partial 16S ribosomal RNA". It matches the Rfam family "Bacterial small subunit ribosomal RNA", at positions 28 to 507 of the family's 1533-position model. The record is from RNAcentral.